RNAcentral lists this long non-coding RNA (4936 nucleotides) under Homo sapiens (human). RNAcentral describes it as "HSALNT0212574". Lineage: Eukaryota; Metazoa; Chordata; Mammalia; Primates; Hominidae. The record is from RNAcentral.
CAUAUUUUGGGGGUGUCUGUGAUUUUUUAAAUUUAAUUUAUUUCUUAUUCUGUUUCUUCCCCCCACCCCUCUUCUUUUGGGACAGGAUCCCCAUCUGUGGCCCAAGCUGGUCUCAAACUCCCGGCCUCAAGCUAUUCUCCCACCUCAGCCUCCCAAAGUACUGGGGUCACAGGCGUGAUCCCCACGCCCAGCCUCAGGUGAUAUUUUUAUUACAUGUGUACAACAUGUAAAGAGAAAAUCAGACACCCAUCACCCCAAACAUUUAUAUCUACUUUGUGUCAGAAACAUUAUAAGUCUUCUAGCUAUUUUGAAAUAUACAAUACAUUAUUGUUAACUAUAAUUCCCCUGCAGUAGUAUCAACUACUAGAUCUUAUUCCCUCUGUCUAGCUGUAUGUUUGUACCCAUUAGCCAACCUCUCUUCAUCUUCCCCAGCCCCCUUCCCAGCCUCUGUUAACUAUCAUUCAACCCUCUAGCUCCAUGAGAUCCACUUUUGUUUUUAGCUUCCACAUGACUGAAAAUAUGUGGCAUUUGUCUUUCUGUGCCUGGCUUAUUUCACAUAACAUGAUGACCUCCAUUCCACCCAUGUUGCUGCAAAUGACAGGAUUUUAUCAUUUUUUAUAGCUAAAUAAUAUUCCAUUGUGUAUAUACGUCACAUUUUCUUUCUUUAUUCAUCCAUUGAUGGACACUUAUGUUGAUCUGUAUCUUGGCCAUCAGGAAUAGUGCUGCAGUAAACAGGAGGGCAAAUAUCUCUUCAAUAUACUUAUUCCCUUUCUUUUGGAUAUACGUGUGUGUGUGUGUGUGUGUGUGUGUGUGUGUGUGUGUAUCCAGCAGGUUUUUCUCAUUUUAAAAACUCCAUAGAAAUAGUGAUGUCUAAUGUACUAACUCUUACAUAUGUAAAUUGUGUGGUUUCCAGGGAUACAGAGACUUAACAAAUAGCAGACAUGGCUGGGCGCAGUGGUUUACGCCUGUAAUCCCAGAACUUUAGGAAGCCGAGGCAGGUGGAUCUACCUGAGAUCAGGAGUUCGACACCAGCCUGGCCAACAUGGUGAAACCCUGUCUCUACUAAAAAUACAAAAAUUACCUGGGCGUGGUGGCAGGCACCUGUAAUCUCAGCAAUUCAGGAGGCUGAGGCAGGAGAAUCGCUUGAACCCAGGAGGCGGAGGUUGCAGUGAGCCGAGAUCACGCCAUUGCACUCCAGCCUGUGUGGCAAGGGCAAAACUCCGUCUAAAAAAAAAAAAAGACAUAUACUUUAUAAACAUUAGGAAAAAAAUUUGUGUUUGUAUACACACACAUACAUACAUACAAAUGCACAAAGAUACCUCUACCACUUCUUCUCUUCUUAUCAUUAUUAUUCUUUUUUUUUUUUCUUUUAAGACAGUGUCAGGCCAGGCGCCGUGGCUCAUGCCUGUAAUCCCAGCACUUUGGGAGACCAAGGCGGGUGGAUCACGAGAUCAGGAGAUCGAAACCAUGGUGAAACCCUGUCUCUACUAAAAAUACAAAAAAAUUAGCCAGGCGCAGUGGCGGGCGCCUGUAGUCCCAGCUACUCGGGAGGCUGAGGCAGGAGAAUGGUGUGAACCCAGGAGGUAGAGCUUGCAGUGAGCCCAGAUCGCGCCACUGCACUCCAGCCUGGGUGACAGAGCGAGACUCCAUCUCAAAAAAAAAAAAGACAGUGUCUUAUUCUGUCACCCAGGCUGGAAUGCAGUGGUACAAUCUUGGUUCACUGGUGCCUUCACCUCCUUGGCUCAAGGAAUUCUCCUGCCUCAGCCUCUUGAGUAGCUGGAACUACAGGUGUGUGCCAUGACAUCUGGCUAAGUUUUUAAAAAAAUUUUUUUAGGGAUGGGGGUCUCACUAUGUCACCCAGGCUGGUCUUGAACUCUUGACCUCAAGCAGUCCUCCCACCUUAGCCUCCCAAAGUGGUGGUAUUACAGGCAUGAGCCACCAUGCCUGGCCUCUCUGUCACUUCUUACAUCAAAUUUGGUUAUGCAGUUUUUAUCCUAUUAGAUUGUUUUAAAGUCCUAGUUGAACAAAUGGUUUUUUUCAAACACUAAUGUAGGAAUGUUAAUUAGAAGUAAUUUUAAGUCUUUUAAAUUAUAAAAGCACAUAUUCAUUAAUGCAGCAAUUCCUUCACUGGUAACGAACCCUACAGAUACAUUCAUGUUCAUGGGUGUAAAGAUGUAUGUACAGGGAUUCCUCUGAAGCCCAGUUAAUAGUAGCAAAAAAACUGGGACUCACCAGUAGGGCACUAGUUAGAUAAAGGAUGGUGCAUCCAUGUGAUGGAAAACCAGCAAACCACUGAAAACGAUGACAGAGAUCCAUACUCACUUAUGCGGAACCAUCUCCAAGAGGCAGUGUUGAGUGAGAAAGCACCAUGGGAGUGUCUGGACUGUGGUGAUGGUUGCACAACUGUAUAAAUUAACCUUGAAAAUCACUGAACUGAAUUGGGUAUGGCAACUCACAUCUGUAAUCUCAGCACUUUGGGAGGCUGAGGCAGGCAGACUGCUUGAGCCCAGGAGUUCGAGACCAGCCUGGGAAACAUAGUGAAACCCCAUCUCUACAAAAAUUACAAAAGUAGCCAGGCGUGGUGGUGCAUGGCUGUAGUCCCAGGUACUAGGGAGGCUGAGGUGGGAGGAUUGCUUGAACCCGGGAGGUCGAGGCUGCAGUGAGCUGAGGUCGUGCCACCGCAUUUGAGCCUGGGCAACAGAGUUGAGACCUCAUCUCACACACAAAUCACUGAACUAUACUCUUUAAAUGAGGGGAUUUUAUAGUAUGUGAAUUAUACAUUAAUAAAACGUUUUUAAAAGAUCAUAAAAAAGUAUGUAACUUAUUCUCUUCUAUAAAACUAAAUUAAAAAUACACACAUAGGUUGGUAUAUGCAUGGUAACAUUCUGGUGAUUAUUUCUUGGGGAGGGGAAAGGUUUAUUACAUACACUGUACAAUAUAUAUUUUUUUUACCGUAGCAGGUACACUUGUUCAAUAAUUUUUAAUAGUUGCAUUUAUCCUUUCAUAGAAUAUCCAUUACAAUAGUUUCCACAGCAGUAAUUGACCAGGGAUUUAAGUAGAAUAAGAAAUGCCUUUAAUAUUUUAACAACUUGAAGAAACGAGGAAUUUUUUCUUCACCAAAAGGCAUAGGUUUUACACACAAGGAACUUAUGUCUUUAUAAAUCUAAUUUAAAGAAAACAUUUCUUCCAUGAUGAUAAGACCUAGAAUAGACACACAAAUGGUGGAGUUUUUUACUGCUGAUAAAAAUAAUAACUGUUUGUUAUAGAAAUUUUAAAAGAGAAAAAUAUAAAAAGAAGAAAACAACAAUCACCUAUACCCCACCCGAUUACAGCAACUGCAGACAUGUUGGUGUAUUUUCGGCCAGUUACUAUGUGUACACAAUUUUCUGUUUUACAAUGUUAUGAACCCACUACAAAUGAUUAUGUAUUUUCUUUUUUUUCCAUCAAUUCCCAUAUCAUGCAAAUUUUCCCAUGUUCUUAAAAUGUUAUUCAAGAACAUGAUAGUACAUCCUAUGGUCAUUUUACUUACUUAUUUAUUUAUUUAUUUAUUUAUUUAUUUAUUUAUUUAUUUUUUGAGACAGAGUCUUACUCUGUCACCCAGGCUAGAGUGCAACAGCGCAAUCUUGGCUCACUGCAACCUCCGUCUCCCGGGUUCAAGCUAUUCUCCUGCCUCAGCCUCCUGAGUAGCUGGGAUUACAGGCACCUGCCACCACACCUGGCUAAUUUUUGUAUUUUUAGUAAAGACGGAGUUUCGCCACAUUGGCCAGGCUAGUCUCGAACUCCUGACCUCAGGUGAUCUGCCCACCUCGGCCUCCCAAACUGCUGGGAUUACAGGCGUGAGCCACCGCGCCCGGCCUGUAGUCACAUUUAUUGAAUGCACUACCUGCUAAGCACAAAGCACUCUACUAGGCACUUUAUAUAUAUUAUUUCACUUAUUUUUCACAAUGAGACAGGUAUUAUCUCCAUUUUACCUAUAGGAAGCUGAGGCUAGGACCCUUGCUCAUCGACUGUCUCCCAGAGAGUUAGUGCCAAAGCAGGAGCUGAAAAUCAGGUCUGUCUGAUUCCAAAACCCACACUCUUCCAUUAACAAGGAGAAAAGAAGGGCUGUGGUACAUUUGCCAAAGAAAACCACUUUUCUAGUUGUCCAAGUGCCAAGGGCCACAGUCCACAGUCAGGGUUUCAGAAUAAACUGAGAGUCCUUGAAUGGAUCAAUAGGUUUUGAAAUGCAAAUAUAACUUUUUCAAUUUUUUAUUUUUUAGAGACAGGGUCUCACUCUGUCACUCAGGCUGGAGUGCAGUGACACAGUUAUGGCUCACUGAAGUUUUGACCUCCUAGGUUCAAGGGCUCCUCUCACCUCAGCCUCCCAAGUAGCUGGGACUGCAGGUGCUGCCACCACACCCAGCUAAUUUUUAUUUUUAGUAGAGACAAGGUCUCACUAUGUUGACCAGGCUGGUCUCAAACUCCUGGCCUUAAACAGUCCUCUCACUCAGCCUCCCAAAGUGCCUAGAUUGCAGGCAUGAGCCACUGCACCUAAUCUGAAAUGUAAAUAUAGCUUCCAUACAGAAAAAAAAAAAAAAAAAAAAAAAAAAAACACACAACUAUCAAACAUUUAGCCAGAAUAUCUCAAAACGACAGCAACAACAAAUUUUUGGAAACAGAUUUCUGAUUCAUAGCUAUCAGCAUUACUUUAAAAGUGUGGCCAAAAGCAAGCACAUACAUGUGUUAUAUAUUGAAGGAAAACACAGCUGGGCAUGGUGGCUCAUGCCUAUAAUCCCAGCACUUUGGGAAGCUGAGGUGGGAGGGCCACUUUAUGCCAGGAGUUUGAGACCAGCCUGGGAAACAUGGCAAGAUCCCCAUCUCUACAAACUUUUUUUGUAGUGGUGGCCUGCAUCUAUAGACCCAGCUACUGGAGAGGCUGAGACAGGAGGCUCUCUUG